Molecule: long non-coding RNA, 7007 nt
Organism: Aethalodelphis obliquidens (Pacific white-sided dolphin)
Lineage: Eukaryota; Metazoa; Chordata; Mammalia; Artiodactyla; Delphinidae
Exons: 2
Source: RefSeq, a predicted model, not a curated record
GCUGGACUGAGGGGAAACCAAGGCCCGGAAUGGGGGCGGGCUCAGCUUCUGCCAUUAGCUUGGGCCCGGCUUCCCCUCCCGUCCAGGCAUCCAGUUCCGGCUCUGCCCACUGGGUAGCCAGCCGGCCGGGGCCAGUGCUUUGCUGCCUGCCUGCUUCAGACUGGCCCGGUCACCCCGAAAAGCUGACAAAAGCCAGCUGCCCUCCCAGUGGUUGCCCGGCAGGCAGACACCCAGAGGCGUGAUGCCUGCCCUGGUCUGGCACGAGAGGCUGCCAGGAGGGCCCUUGGAAAGCUCCUCUCCACUCCCACUCCCAGGGGCUCUGCAGCUCCUUUCCGGAAUGGCUUCCCGAUGAGGUCAUGCCGCUCAGAGCGAGGGAGGAGGCCGCAGGGAAACGCUGCUGGCCGGGCCCCAGUUCGCCUGGAAGAUGGCUGCUCGCGGCCUCCAGGCCUGCCUGCCCAAUGCUGCCAGACGGGGGCCACGGGGCCAAUCGGGGAGAGGACGCCGGGCUGGGACGCUUGGCGGCCUCGCUCUGGGGCAGCCCAGGGGACCCCGGAUGUUGACUCGUCUCCUGGCCUCGAUGGCGCGGCCCCCCGGCCCCCAACCUCGGCCGCGGCCCCGCACUGAGCCCGGAGCCCGGCCUGUGAUCACAGCAGCGCCCGCAGGGCACCGAGGCCCGGGCCGAGGGGGAGUGGACGCACUCUGGGCCGCAAGGGCGGCCUCGCAGCACCGUCGCCUCGGGAGCUGCCCGACAUGCCGGCUCCAACCUGCCAAGCUGCAGGUUCCUGGAACAUGAGUCCUUUCCGGCUACAGAGCAGAGAGCUCGAGGCCGCCCGCCUUCCUGUGCCGGGGCCCGGAGGAAAUGCUGAGCUGGCGCACGCGGAGGGCGGCCAGGGCCUUCGCCCACGCCCCCGUCAGACCUCCCCUGGCCCAUGCGAAGCCAGGCCCCGUUUCCCUGUCAAGCCUGGCACCGCUCCCUUCCUGGGGCUCUGGUCCAGGCUCCUCUGCAGGUGGGACCUGCCCAGGAGACUUGGGAACUGAGCAGGGAAGUGUCCCAAGGGGUGACUCACCUCCCUCCCCCACGGAGGCCACAGGAGCCAGCGUGACCCAACAGCCCCCGGGCCUCCCAGGGGGGAGGAAGGGACACUGAGCUUUGAAACUGCCCCAUGAGGGCUGGGGGAACAGGGUCCAUGGAGGCCUCAUCGGGCCCUCCCUGGGGCCUGGCAGCCAGAGGAGGGUCACCCCCACCCCGAGGGUGGGCCCAGCUGGAGGUGCAGCAGGAUCCCUGCUCUUGGUGGCCUUUGGGACUGGCGGUGGGCAGAGCGAGCAGGGCAGGCCUCGGCCUCUGCAGGCCUGGCCAGUCCCGUCUCUGCCUCGAAUUCGUUGUGUGACGUUGGCCAAGGCCCUGCUCUCCAUCUGCAGCCCGGAGGCGUGGGGUCAGGGGCCCCCCAGGCCUGAAAGCUCAGGCCCAGGACCGCAGCUGUGUGGGGUGGGAAGCCUCUCUCUGGGCCUCGCCUCGCAUUUCCACGUUGGAAGAGAUCCAGCCACCGCCGGGUAGCACCCCGCGCACAGAGGAGGGCCCGGGUGCGGGAGUAAACGGCCGGGCCGGGAUCCGAGCCCAGACUCCUCUGCUGGCCCCGAGUGACCCCGCUGGGCCUCCUCGCCUCCCUCCCGCUCUCCCUGCCCGAAGCACAGGCUCCAGGAGGGCCAGACUCCGGCUCCCGGAGCAGAACUGCUCCCCUCUGCUGCCCCCUGGUGGCUGAAGUGACACAUGGCGGCCCAAUCCCCAAACCCCGGGCACCGCCGGGCCGGGCGCCCUCACACGCAGAGACACCCACAGAUGUGUGCACCCACGGGGACACAGAUGCCCUCACUAGCAGCUCUGGCUAAGAGCACCACCUGGCUUAUUUCACUGAAUCUCCCUGUCUUCCCAUAGACGGCGUUACCCCUUUACAGAUAGGGAAUCCAAGGUUCAGGGGCUCGGUGGGCAGCCGGGCAGACCCUGCAGGGAGGUGAUUUGUCAGGUGGCUGGUGGAGUUCGUCAUCAGACGCCUCAGGGUGGAAAACUGCCCCAGUCAGCAGCCACCGGGGCUUGAGGCUGUGGAAGGGGAGGAGGAGUGAGGGAGCCCGGGGCUCCCUCUUCUGUAGGGGCGGACGGCCACCCAACUGAGGAAGAGAAGGGCCCAGUUCAUGGGAACAGGAAGGCGCGUGUCUGGGACGGCGUCCCGGGGCCCUGGGUGUAGGGGCAGGAGUGGGGCGGUGCCACCGUCCUGGGACAGAGGGGAGUCGGGACCCAGGCCCACACCUGGAGUCCCCAGAGCCAUCACUACCCUCUCUGGCUUCUGGCCUCCAGGACCAGGCUCUGCACUGGCUGAGUCCCCACCACGUGUUAGCUCUGCGCCAAGGCUGCACGCCCCUCCCCUCGUCCUUACCGGUCACCGAGGGCUUUCACAGGGGAGGGAGAUGCGCUCAGAGGUCCAGCAACCUGCCUAGGGCCACGUGGUGGCCACAGCGGCGGGCUGCCUGAGGACCCACGUUCCCGACAGCAUCCUCGGGAUGGGGGUGGGAAGGCUGGCGGGUCAGUAGCUAAGGACAUGCUGGCCACUCCUCUCUGCAGGUGCUUGCUCACCUGGGUGCCCUCUCUGCUCCCUAAGGUCUGACUGCCUUCGCCUCCCUGCCCGCAGAAAGCACCGUCAGGCUCUUCGGCUAGCCUCCACCCCAACCCCCGUUCCCUGGCGCCUGCCUGGACACCCAUCACAGUGGGCACAGUGCUGGUGCCAGGCCAGGCAUGAGACAGGAACCCAGCAGGGCCACAUGGCUUUAGGAUCCGCUGAACCCGAGUGUCAACUUUUGCUGGUGGGGAAACUGAGGCCCAGAGAGAGGAAGGGCUUGACUAGGCCCAGGAUGGGCCAGACACAGAGUUGGAGUGGGAUCAGAGCCAGAAUCCAGGGGUCCCCAUCACUGGUCCCACAUCUGUGGCACUGAGUCCCGGGAGAACAGCAGGGACAGAGGACAGGUGGGGUCUCCCAAGUCCCUCCACCCCUGUCUCCCCGAGUUUCCCACAGGAAAGGAGACAGGGAGGGGCACCACUGUGCCUGUGUGACUGGUGACGGGCGGGCGUGAGGCUUGGCUGGGCCCCAGGGGGGCAGCGAGGGGAAGCCGUGGGCAUACCCUGUCUCCUGCUCGUCCCCGGGCAGUCCCCGGGGACCCUUAUGGAAUGACUGACGGGAGGUGGGGAGAAUGCUUACAUAAUCCAGGGGACACCAUCUUGCUGUCCCAUGACCUACGCCUUCAGGCCAAGCAGAGGUAACAAGGCCCGAGGUAGUCGUGCCAAAAACACGCCCAGGGCCUGCCCGUGUGCCCAGCCACUGGUCCUGUGGCAGUUCACCCGGGGGUCCUCAGGUAGGAUGCAAGGUGUUCGAGCCAGUCUGCCCAGCUCCUUCCAGGUCCCUGCCUAUCUGGCUGUGUGUCACUGGGCAGCUCACUCAACCUCUCUGUGCCGCUUCACAAAGCACAGUGAACAAACACACAGAAGAUGCUAUAGCACCUGGUGCAAGAGAAACGCUGAAUGGAUCCUAGGUAGCGCUGUUGAUGUGAUGGGUCAAAGCCAGGGAUUUGGGGGGAAGCAGAGGCGGCCCUGCUCUCGGGGUCUCCAAGUCUAGAGGCAGAAACUUGGCUGAUGUCACCAUCCGGGCAGCCUGGGGCAGGAGGGAGUGACUCAUUCCCUGGGACGUGGGGUUUGGUAAGGAGGGCGGGGAGGGACCCGCCUGGCCCUGAAGAGGUGUGCAGCAUCACAUCACAGGCAGAGGGGCUGGGGUCGGGGGUGCAGGAGGCGGGGGGGGGGUGCAGGGCGAGGUCAGUGCUAGGCAGGCAGGUUCUAGGAGGUCUGAGUUUGUGCCGUGAGUGGCCCUAGCUGGAAAAGCCAUCCAUUCGUCCCCGUGGCAAUGGCCACGACGCCCCUGUGGGGGAGGCCGAGGUGAGCGCUGCCUCCACAGGGCCUGGGCAGACCGGAGGUACCUGGCCCCCAUCACCCCUGUGUCCUGGAGUCUCCGUCUCGGGGCCAGGCCGGGGCUGUUGAAGGGGGGCAGGGGCUGCGUGAGGCCUGCGUGAGGCCCUGCACAGCUGGAUGCAAUUAGGAAAGCUGAGACGUUAUUGUUUUGGGGUUAAAUCGAAACUAAUCUCCCCAAGGUGAUGGCCAGACACCUCAAGGGUGUGUUCUCGCGAUGUAGCCCCUUGGGCUCCGGAAGCGGGGCCCCUGGGUUCCAGGGAUGUGUGGAAAGAGGAUAGUAAGGGCCCUGCUGCCCCGCGGGCCUGGUCCAGCCGGAACAGGGUGGCGUGGGUUCCUCCCACCCCAUCCUGCAAAUCCCAGCUCCGUCCGCCUCCCACUGAGCCCGCCCCCUCCCACCCCGGCUCAGCUGCACUAUUGGCCCAGCCCUGCCCCGCCUCCGCUGGCUCUACCCCCGCACCUUUCCCCUCCACCUCCAUUCGUCCACCACCUGGGCCGUUUUCUUAAACUUCCAGGUGGCCCAGCCCGGGCUCCCCACCCUUGGGGAGACCUCACUGCACCCCUCAAGGCUUCCCCACCCUGCACGCCAGUUCCCGUGGCUUUUGACACCCACUACCUUGUUUGUCCCACGACACUGGGGGGCAUUUCAGUCAGAUGGAGACAUCGAGGCCAGGGAGCAGAAGGAACGUCUGGAAGGUCCCGGGGUGAAAGCAAAGCCAGGUCUGGGAGGCAGGGUCUGAACCCCCUCCCACUGAGCACCAGACAGAGGGUGUGGGACCCAGGAGCUGGGAAACGGGGGCAGGGGGCUGCCGCCAUGUCCACCGAGGGACGCAGCCCCACUCUUGGCCUCCAGUGGCCUCCGGCGCGGGGCAGCCAGGCUGCAAGGGCCUUGGAAACACGACCGGGGCUGUUUGUUCAGCUGUCUGCGUUGGCGUCUGCUCCCCCUCUGGGGCCUGGUCUUUCUGGAGUUAAAAUACCCAGCCCUGCCCCCACCACCGGGCAGUGACCUGCUCAAAGCAGGAGGUCUCUGCAGGAGGCUGGUGGGCAAAGCCGAGGAGUGGAGGCCCGGGCCUCGGCCCGAGCCACGUGGAGGCGGUGGGACCCAGGGACCACCCUCUCCGAACAGGAGUGCACAUCUUCUCUCCCCAAGGUUGCUGCGGGGCAAGGGCCCUGCUAAAGGAAGUGGAGAGCACCCUCGUUUUGGGGCAUUUGAGGAGCAUUUCAUGAAGGAACAUGGCCGUGUGCAGAGCUGAGGACGAGCUGCCGGGGAUGAGCAGUUCUCUGGAGCUGGUGGCGGAGGGUCGGAGGUGGGCUUGGGCCCCCAGCCUGGAGCCGGCCUUUGGUAGAGGCCCCCGUCCUCCUGCCAGUGCCGCCUACGGGCUGAGCCCAAGUGGACGUCAGCGCUCAGGAAGCCUGUACGUGCGUCCCUCCAUCCAGGUCAGCCUCCGGGCGGCUGGAGCUGGCGGAGAGUGGGUCUGCAGAUGCAAAGGGAAAGGGGGCAGCAAAGCCCCCGAAGAAGGGAGACUGUGGCUAUAGAAAGUUCCUCGUCAGGUGUAGGGGUGGAAGCAGCCACCGUACUUUCUUGCUCCAGAAACGCAGAGAAGCCCCGCCUGGAGCCAAACAAAAAGAUGGAACUCUGUGGCCUUUCUUUAGAACCUUACUGAUGCCGCCGUCCAGGGGCGGCAUCUAAUUUCCCUCGCCCUGGGUUGCCUGGGUGAGUAGAAGGUGUGGAAGGGCGCUGGGUGGGCUCGGGGGCUGGGCUGUGGCAGCCGGCACCGCCACCCGGCCUUCUCGGGCACUGGCUCUAGGAACCCAGCCGGGUGAGGUGCAGCCACGUUGAGGGGUCACAGCUGACAGCCGGUACUGCCCGACGUGGGAGCGAGGCUCCUGCAGUGACUCCAGCCCCUGGACCCUGAGCCACCUCCAGCGAGGGCCCCGACCUGGUGCAGCAGAGGUGAGGUGCUCCUGCUGCACUCGGUUCAAAUUCUGGACCCAGGGAGUCCAUGAGGGCAGCGGCAGAGAGAAGGGAGAUCUCUCAGGGAAGGACAAUGGAUUCUGUCCAGCUUUUGACACUAAAAUAGACUUUUAAAAGCAUGGCUGAGACCACAUUUUUGAAAGAAAAACAAGAAAAGGAGCUUCUAGAAGCCGGAACCCCAGCCAACGUGAGUUCACAUCCCAAACAAUGGCUCUGGGGAGAUGAUGAGCCAGUGACCCUGACCUGGCGCGGCGGCGGGCCUCCAGGGGGGUUGGGCCUAAGGGGGUUGCAGACCCUCAGGACAGGGCCGGGCUGGGCUCUGAGGGUUUGGCGAGCCUGGCCUGUGCCCGCUGCCCUGAGAUCGCAGGGGGCGGAGCCACGUGCUGCUCCCGGCUUUGGUGAAGGUGAGGUGGGGUGGUCCUGCAGUGGCCACGAGAGCACGUCCACUCUUCCAGAUGCCCCAAGAGGGAUGUGCAGCAAUUGAGGCAUGGGUGGCCCGGGGGACCUGGCUGGAAGGAGGACCCCGGAGGCUGCCUGCCUGGACAGAGGGCGUCCGAGGCUGGGCGCUGCCGACGGUGACGUUGAAGGAGAGAGAUGCCACUGGAGAAAGAGCGCUCUGAGGGGACUUAGGUUACCCUGUUGACCAAGAUCACGGGUCUGCUAGAGCCAGAGCAUUAGAUACGAAUUCGACUAUGAACAAGUGGAUUCCGUCUUGCCCGCCGGACGUAGCCAUCUUUCCUCAAGGAUGCCCAGCCAGGCGGGGUGUCUCGGCCCCUGAAACCCCAGCCCAGGGUGGGCGCCAUGGGGUCCAGGGGACACUGUGGCUUCCCAGGAUUGACUUCUGCACCGGCCCAGCCACCAAUCCCUGUGCCUGGAGUCUAAGGUCCAGUUCCCUUGGGGCCAGAAACUGAAGCCUCUGCGGCUGUAGGGCCUUGGUGGGAACCGAGCAGCAGGAUUCUUUUCCUUUGGGGGAGGAGGCCGAGGCCACCCCUGGAGUCGUUUCACUUGUAAAUUAGGUCUUGGCUUUUC